RNAcentral lists this ribosomal RNA (292 nucleotides) under uncultured bacterium. Its description in RNAcentral is "partial 16S ribosomal RNA". It matches the Rfam family "Bacterial small subunit ribosomal RNA", at positions 333 to 641 of the family's 1533-position model. The record is from RNAcentral.
GGGUGCCUACGGGAGGCAGCAGUGGGGAAUAUUGCACAAUGGGGGAAACCCUGAUGCAGCGACGCCGCGUGAGUGAAGAAGUAUUUCGGUAUGUAAAGCUCUAUCAGCAGGGAAGAAGAAAGACGGUACCUGACUAAGAAGCCCCGGCUAACUACGUGCCAGCAGCCGCGGUAAUACGUAGGGGGCAAGCGUUAUCCGGAUUUACUGGGUGUAAAGGGAGCGUAGACGGCUGUGCAAGUCUGAAGUGAAAGCCCGGGGCUCAACCCUGGGACGGCUUUGGAAACUGUGGAGC